UUAAGCUACUAAGAGCACAGGGUGAAUGCCUUGGCACCAAGAGCCGAUGAAGGACGUGAUAAGCUGCGAAAAGCUGUGAGGAGGAGCAAAUAUCCAUUAUAUUCACAGAUAUCCGAAUGAGGAAACUCUAGUUAGGAAAAAAGCUAACUAAUCCAUACAUGAGUAAAGUAGUGUAUGUGAGGGGAACGUAGGGAACUGAAACAUCUAAGUACCUACAGGAAAAGAAAGAAAACUCGAUUCCUUGAGUAGUGGCGAGCGAAAGAGGAAGAGCCUAAACCAAGAGAAGUAAUUUUCUUGGGGUUAUGGACUACAUAAUUGAUUCAAUAGAUUUAGCAGAACUGUUUGGAAAAGCAGACCAAAGAUAGUGAAAGUCUAGUAAGCGAAAAAUCGAAAGACAUGGUAGUAUCCAGAGUAGUGCGAGACACGGGAAAUCUCGUAUGAAAAAGUGGGGACCACCCCAUAAGGCUAAAUACUACUUGGUGACCGAUAGUGAAACAGUACCGUGAGGGAAAGGUGAAAAGAACCCCGGGAGGGGAGUGAAAGAGAACCUGAAACCCUGUGUUUACAAGCAGACAAAGCACGUUAAGGUGCGAUGUCGUACUUUUUGUAGAACGGUCCGGCGAGUUAUUUUAUAUGGCAAGGUUAAGUACUAUUAAGGUACGAAGCCGAAGCGAGAGCGAGUCUGAAAAGGGCGAGUAAGUCAUAUGAAAUAGACCCGAAACCGAGUGACCUAUCCAUGGUCAGGAUGAAGCUUGAGUAAAAUCAAGUGGAGGUCCGAACCCAUAAGCGUUAAAAAGCUUCGGGAUGAACUGUGGAUAGCGGAGAAAUUCCAAUCGAACUCGGAGAUAGCUGGUUCUCCUCGAAAUAGUUUUAGGACUAGCCUUGUUUAGUAGUAUGUGGGGGUAGAGCACUGAAUGAGCUAGGGGCCAAACCAGGUUACUGAACUCUAUCAAACUCCGAAUACCAUGUACGUAAGAACAGGAGUCAGACUGCGGGAGCUAAGUUCCGUGGUCAAAAGGGAAAGAGCCCAGAUCGUCAAUUAAGGUCCCAAAGAUAUAGUUAAGUGGAAAACGAUGUGAUUUUGCGUAAACAACCAGGAUGUUGGCUUAGAAGCAGCCAUUCAUUUAAAGAGUGCGUAAUAGCUCACUGGUCGAGUGGAGUUGCGCGGAAAAUUACCGGGGCUAAACUAUACACCGAAAUUGCGGAUUCAUGAGUAAUCAUGAGUGGUAGAGGAGCAUUCUAUAGUAGGACGAAGGUAGAUCGAAAGGACUGCUGGACGAGAUAGAAGAGAGAAUGCCGGAAUAAGUAGCGAAAGCAUGGUGAGAAUCCAUGCCAUCGAAAGUCUAAGGUUUCCUGGGGAAGGUUCGUCCGCCCAGGGUAAGUCGGGACCUAAGGAGAGGCCGAAAGGCGUAUCUGAUGGACAGCAGGUAGAAAUUCCUGCACCACCGAUAUACUUAAAAAAUGCAAGGGACACAGUAGUGGAAGGAAAGCGAGGAAGAGGAAAGACUCGUAUCGAAAGAUAUAGUGAAAAAAUAAGUAACGAAUUUCCAAGAAGCACACUGGCGAGAAAAGCUUGUAGGAAUUGUAUAAAGGUGCCCGUACCGCAAACCGACACAGGUAGAUGAGGAGAGGAUCCUAAGAUGAGCGAGAGAAGCAUUGUUAAGGAACUCGGCAAAUUGACCCCGUAACUUAGGGAGAAGGGGUGCCAAAGUAAAAUUUGGUCGCAGAGAAGAGGCCCAAGCAACUGUUUAACAAAAACACAGGUUUCUGCUAAAUCGAAAGAUGAAGUAUAGGAGCUGACGCCUGCCCAGUGCUGGAAGGUUAAGGGGAAGAGUUAGAUGUAAGUCGAAGCUUAGAACCAAAGCCCCAGUGAACGGCGGCCGUAACUAUAACGGUCCUAAGGUAGCGAAAUUCCUUGUCAGGUAAGUUCUGACCCGC
This 1938-nucleotide ribosomal RNA is filed under the name human gut metagenome. Its description in RNAcentral is "bacterial LSU rRNA". It matches the Rfam family "Bacterial large subunit ribosomal RNA", at positions 3 to 1991 of the family's 2925-position model. The record is from RNAcentral.